GCUCCGGUGGCCUAAGUGGCUGAGCGUCCGCCUCAGAUACGGAAGAUCGCGGGUUCAAACCCCGGCCGAGUCA
Potamilus streckersoni is the source of this 73-nucleotide non-coding RNA. The record is from the annotation of a GenBank genome assembly. NCBI's taxonomy places the organism in Eukaryota, Metazoa, Mollusca, Bivalvia, Unionida, Unionidae.